AUAAAGAUAGGAUCUAUUUUAUUGACAGGAUUUAUCACUACUUUAGCUACUUUAGCAGCUUGGCCAAUUACACGGAAUUCGUGAUUAUUCUAUUUCCUGAUGCUCGCUAUGUAUAGUGGUCAAAUAGGAUUAUUUUCUUUGCGAGACCUUUUACUAUUUUUUAUCAUGUGGGAGUUAGAAUUAAUUCUUGUUUACUUACUUUUAUCUGAGUGA
This 213-nucleotide ribosomal RNA is filed under the name Triticum aestivum (bread wheat). RNAcentral's name for it is "partial small subunit ribosomal RNA". The record is from RNAcentral. Lineage: Eukaryota; Viridiplantae; Streptophyta; Magnoliopsida; Poales; Poaceae.